UUUAUUUACUUAUGCAUUUAUUUUAUUUUUGGUUCUGCUCUUUUUUAAAAGAAGUGGGAGGCGAAAGGAGAGACCCACUUCUGUGUCUGCCCAGGGUAGAACGCGGGCAGCAAAGCCGGAGACAAGAGCCGGUGGAGCGGCAGCUGCGGGGCCGCGCGUCCCGCCACCUCCCACGCCCGCUUCCUUCCCGGGCACCUGCGGCCCACCGCUGACGUCACAGGGGCUAAACACGGAAGGACGUUCCCGCACGAGGAGCUCUGAAAGCAGAUUGCAGGCCACAGUGGCAGAGCGCACGGGAGCCAGCAGGCCUGGCCCGGGCUCAUGGCAGCACGGAGUAUGCUUUUCCUGACCACUUGUGAAGGUCCACCUCUCCUCGAAGGACGAUCGUGUGUGACGUCAGGCAUUGCGGUGUCACAAUCACAGCUCCUAGACCACGUGCAGUGGUGCGAGCAGAUUCACCCCUAGGCGAGCAGCCCUGCACGGACGGCGAACGGCGGCGUGGCACUAGAAGUGUCCAGACUUCAGAUCUCAGCCCAGCCAGCGACCUGUUUUCUAAGAUGCCAACUGCUGUUUCUGUGACCCAGCGACUCCUGCUGCCUCCAGCUGCCUCCAGGAUGCAGGCCGGGACUCCUGGCCACGGAGUACGCGCUUGGAUCGCACACCUGUGUCCACUGGGCACCUCCACAUGGCCCAAGCUGUCCAGCAACCCAACCCACCCAAAAUGUAGAACUUGCUUUUAAUUUUAUGUGACUAUCAAUAAUUUAAAUAGCACCGUGUGGCGUGUGCUGCAGGUUUAAGAGACUAUAAUAUAAAAUCUCUUCCAGCCUGCAAACCUUAUGAUUCUAGAUAUACAAAAAAGGCUCACAAAACUCUACUCAAGCACUAUUUUCAAAAAUUUCCUUUUAAGUACCUAGUAUGUGGCUUCAUCAAUGAACAAAACACACGGACAUCUUUGUCCUUGCGGCUGACAGUCUUGUAGGGAGAGAAAGAUAAUGAAAAUAAAUAUAGUAAGCAAAGCAGAAAAUUACUGGAAGGUAAUAAUAUUAUGGAAACACAGAGUAGAUUACGAAAACCACAAAGAAUGCUGGUGUGAGAAUGAAUUGGUGGUCUUUCCGCAUGGGCUGAGCGGAGGCCAGCACAAGCAGCUGGGGUUGAGCAAGGCCUGAAAGCAGCUGGGAGCCAGGCACAGAAGCGAAGCGCCAGGGUGAAGAUCCAGACGGAGGCCUGAGUGAGUGGAAGCGGAGCCCAGGGAGCCUGGUUCUGGGUGAGCAAGGGUGGAAGUCAUGGACAAUGCAGCCACAACACGGGAGAGAAGGACGUGGGGCCUAUCACAUCCAGCCACCGAGAGAGCUGACACUCCGCAGAGCCGUUAUAAAGAAGAAAUCGCCAGUUUUCCAUGAUCCUCUGCCUUCACUGGAGAUCACCCUACAAGCACCAGGGCCGGGGUGAGGCUUCAUUGCUGGAGAUCCUUGACAAAUGACACAGGUUUGGUUCAGAGUGGCAGCAACACCAACAGUGAGAAACGGCUCAAUUCUGGGUAUAUCUUACAGGUGGAGUUCAGAGUAGAUCAUGAAAUACAGGAAUGUGGGGUAGGUGAACAGAAAAAGUCAGCAUCAGUUCCUAAGUUUUGAGGUAAAGCCACUAGGAAAAUGGAGUGCUCAUCCCCUGGAGGGGUGAAAACCAUGGGAAGAACAAGUUUGAAAGGAAACCGAAAGCUGAGCGCUUUCCAACUGUCAAACUUGCAGUUUCUAUUCCACAUCAAGGAGAUGGAUGUCUGGGACUGACUGAAACAGCCUGAGCUGGAGAAAUAAAUUAGGAAAUCUAUGACAUACGAGAAUACCUUCCAUAAAUUGCAUAAGAUCACAGGAGCUUACAGAGUGAAAAGAGGGCAAGGACUAAAGAAAGAGUUCGAACAAAAGUUAAGAAGUAACUCGGAAGGGUGAAUUGAUGAAGAAUAAUUCAAAAAUAUCCCAUGUGGAAGGAAGAAAAGCAGGAGACUAUGGUAUCCUUGAAGUCACAUGACAAAGUAUUUCAAGGAAGAGAGCAUGAUCAAUUUCGUCAAAUACCUGAAAAAUGAAGUGGUAUAAGAAUAAGAAAACGACCACGGGAGUAAUAAGAAGGUCAGGGGUGAUCUUUACAAACAUGGCGACAGUGGAAGCGCUGACAGAAGGCUGGACUCAAGCAGGUUCCAGUGACAAGAGAAAGAAAAGGACCGACAGCUCUGCUCUCCCACCACGCGGACAGCAGGGUAGAGGCGGCUGCCGGCAGCUGCGGGGGCAGAAACCAUGGCAAGAGCUGCGGUCGGUCUUUCCUUUUUAAAGAAGAGAGUAGGGACAGCUAGUUUGAACGCAGAUGGAAGGAUUCAAUAAGGCGAAAAACCAGUGACACAGGGCGGAGACUGUUAACACGGGUGGCCACAGGACUGCUUGUCCCGUGUAGUUACCCAGUGGCCGAGGAGUGAUUUCCAAGCGGUGGAAAAGGAAAAGCAAGAGUGUUUCAAGACACAGCAAAGUCCCAUCCAACUGCAGCUCCAGAGGCCGCACAUAGAGCUUUCCUGGGACACAGCUGUGCUCUACCUUUACGCCCAUCGGCAGCCGCUUCUGUGCCUCCACGGUCCCAAGGCUGCGCUGCACUGGAGGUCACAGUGGCGUCCCGAGUGUUUCCUGCCUCCUCUAAGCUCUGCAGAAUCACUGGACAGGCACAACUGGACAGCACUUCCGAGCCACGCACACCGCCUGACUGUGACAGUGUGCUUUUUCAUCAGUAUGUGUCAUAAAAA
Molecule: long non-coding RNA, 2779 nt
Organism: Heterocephalus glaber (naked mole-rat)
Lineage: Eukaryota; Metazoa; Chordata; Mammalia; Rodentia; Bathyergidae
Source: RefSeq, a predicted model, not a curated record